Molecule: ribosomal RNA, 253 nt
Filed under: uncultured bacterium
Lineage: Bacteria
Description: partial 16S ribosomal RNA
Rfam family: Bacterial small subunit ribosomal RNA
Source: RNAcentral
UACGAAUGGGGCUAGCGUUGUUCGGAAUUACUGGGCGUAAAGCGCACGUAGGCGGAUAUUUAAGUCAGGGGUGAAAUCCUGGAGCUCAACUCCAGAACUGCCUUUGAUACUGAAGAUCUUGAGUUCGGGAGAGGUGAGUGGAACUGCGAGUGUAGAGGUGAAAUUCGUAGAUAUUCGCAAGAACACCAGUGGCGAAGGCGGCUCACUGGCCCGAUACUGACGCUGAGGCACGAAAGCGUGGGGAGCAAACAGG